Molecule: non-coding RNA, 324 nt
Organism: Pelobates cultripes (western spadefoot toad)
Lineage: Eukaryota; Metazoa; Chordata; Amphibia; Anura; Pelobatidae
Source: the annotation of a GenBank genome assembly
GAGGCAGCGGGACUUGGUCGUUGAGUGUCUGUAACUAAAAUCGGACACUCAACCGCAUGAACCACCACUGAAAAUACCGAACGCCUGCUUCCUUUAGUUGCCGAACUGCCAGGAGAGCGCCAUUCGGUAGUUUUGUGCGAACGGACAAGGGAAGAAAUCACUCCUAUGAGCCAGGAGAAUCCAUUCGGUACUUUGUUCGGUUUUUACUUUUUUCUGAAUUGACCGACCGCACACGCUGAAUUCAUGGAACUAUUUUGGGCAGGAGCCUCGUGUGUGGUUGGUAAAAUAUGACUUCCACACUUUUUAAGAACCCCUGAACCGAUC